This is a small nucleolar RNA of Lemur catta (Ring-tailed lemur), 102 nucleotides long. RefSeq annotates it as small nucleolar RNA U13. Lineage: Eukaryota; Metazoa; Chordata; Mammalia; Primates; Lemuridae. The transcript has a single exon. The record is from RefSeq and is a predicted model, not a curated record.
AUCCUUUUGCAAUUCAUAAGCAUAAUGAUUGGGUUUUGACACUCGUGUAAGAUGUACCUCCCUCAAACCUUGUUACGUUGUCAGCAUAUUACCUAUCUGACA